CCCCGCCCCACCCCCCACCGAGAACCCUGGGAAGAAUGCUUCAGUCAGACACUUAACUAUGGAUACUGUUUUGUUACCAGCUCUACUUGCAACGUGUUAACAAAUUGCCAAGUGUGACUGGGGGUUCCUGCAGGAGCUUAGGCCUGCGAUGUGUUACUUGCUUCCUGCAGUGGGUUUGGCCUGCAAAAUGUUAUUUGUUUCCUGAAGUGGGUUGGGCCAGUGAGAUGUUACUGAGGGUUUCUACCCAGGAUCGUUUAUCUUCACACUGAAGACGUUUUGAAGUUAUAAAGAACUAAUCUAAUCUUGCACGUCACUCUCACUGCAAAGUGUAUUUUCUUUUGCCUUGCUUGGUCUCUCUAUUUCCUAACAAAAGUAUUACUAAAGGUGACAUUUCCUGGUGUCUUUAUACACUUGUGCACCUGCCAACAGAAGCUUUUGGCUUGAGAUAACAUUAAACAUUUUUGCAAAUGUAA
RNAcentral lists this long non-coding RNA (473 nucleotides) under Rattus norvegicus (Norway rat). RNAcentral describes it as "long non-coding RNA NONRATT020540". Lineage: Eukaryota; Metazoa; Chordata; Mammalia; Rodentia; Muridae. The record is from RNAcentral.